This 493-nucleotide ribosomal RNA is filed under the name uncultured bacterium. Its description in RNAcentral is "partial 16S ribosomal RNA". It matches the Rfam family "Bacterial small subunit ribosomal RNA", at positions 28 to 523 of the family's 1533-position model. The record is from RNAcentral.
GACGAACGCUGGCGGCGUGCUUAACACAUGCAAGUCGAGCGAUGAAAGCCUUAUGAACUAUUCGUAGUGAUUGGGGCCGGAUUAGCGGCGGACGGGUGAGUAACGCGUGAGCAACCUGCCUUAAACAACGGGAUAGCCUCGGGAAACCGGGAUUAAUACCGUAUGAGACCCCGCCUUCACAUGAAGAAGAGGUUAAAGAUUAUCGGUUUAAGAUGGGCUGGCGUCUGAUUAGCUAGUUGGUGAGAUAAAAGCCCACCAAGGCAACGAUCAGUAACCGGCUUGAGAGAGUGAACGGGCACAUUGGAACUGAGACACGGUCCAAACUCCUACGGGAGGCAGCAGUGGGGAAUAUUGCACAAUGGGGGAAAGCCUGAUGCAGCGACGCCGCGUGAGAGAUGAAGGAAUUCGUUUCGUAAAGCUCUGUCCAAGGGGAAGAUAAUGACAGUACCCUUGGAGGAAGCCCCGGCUAAAUACGUGCCAGCCGCCGCGGUAA